CCUACGGGAGGCAGCAGUGAGGAAUAUUGGUCAAUGGGCGGAAGCCUGAACCAGCCAAGUCGCGUGAGGGAUUCAGGCCCUGCGGGUCGUAAACCUCUUUUACCGGGGAGCAGUGGUCCGGGCGCCUCCGGACCGGGAGAGUACCCGGAGAAACAGCAUCCGCUAACUCCGUGCCAGCAGCCGCGGUACGACGGGGGAUGCGAGAGUUAUCCGGUUUUAUUUGGUUGAAAGGGUGCGUUGGCGGGCAUUUAAGCCGGCGGUCAAAUGUCGGGGCUCAACCCCGGCCUGCCGUCGGAACUGGGUGCCUUGAGUGGGCGAGAAGUAUGCGGAAUGCGUGGUGUAGCGGUGAAAUGCAUAGAUAUCACGCAGAACCCCGAUUGCGAAGGCAGCAUACCGGCGCCCUACUGACGCUGAGGCACGAAAGUGCGGGUAUCGAACAGGAUUAGAUACCCUUGUAGUC
Molecule: ribosomal RNA, 460 nt
Filed under: uncultured bacterium
Lineage: Bacteria
Description: partial 16S ribosomal RNA
Rfam family: Bacterial small subunit ribosomal RNA
Source: RNAcentral